AUUGAACGCUGGCGGCAGGCCUAACACAUGCAAGUCGAGCGGAGCGGCGGACGGGUGAGUAAUGCAUAGGAGUCUGCCUGGUAGUGGGGGAUAACGUACGGAAACGGGCGCUAAUAACGCACACUAUCAGAUGAGCCUAGGUCUGAUUAGCUAGUUGGUGGGGUAAAGGCUUACCAAGGCGACGAUCCGUAACUGGUCUGAGUGGAUGAUCAGUCACACUGGAACUGAGACACGGUCCAGCCUCGUACGGGAGGCAGCAGUGGGGAAUAUUGGACAAUGGGCGAAAGCCUGAGCCAGCCAUGCCGCGUGUGUGAAGAAGGCCUUCGGGUUGUAAAGCACUUUAAGUUGGGAGGCGUUACCAACAGAAGAAGCACCGGCUAACUCCGUGCCAGCAGCCGCGGUAAUAC
This 407-nucleotide ribosomal RNA is filed under the name uncultured bacterium. Its description in RNAcentral is "partial 16S ribosomal RNA". It matches the Rfam family "Bacterial small subunit ribosomal RNA", at positions 30 to 526 of the family's 1533-position model. The record is from RNAcentral.